CCUACGGGAGGCAGCAGUGGGGGAUAUUGCACAAUGGGGGGAACCCUGAUGCAGCGACGCCGCGUGAGCGAUGAAGUAUUUCGGUAUGUACAGAUCUAUCAGCAGGGAAGAAAAUGACGGUACCUGACUAAGAAGCCCCGGCUAACUACGUGCCAGCAGCCGCGGUAAUACGUAGGGGGCAAGCGUUAUCCGGAUUUACUGGUGGUAAAGGGAGCGUAGACGGCGGUGUCAGUCUGAAGUGAAAGCCAAGGGCUCAACCUUUGGACUGCUUUGGAAACUGUGAAGCUAGAGUGUCGGAGAGGCAAGUGGAAUUCCUAGUGUAGCGGUGAAAUGCGUAGAUAUUAGGAGGAACACCAGUGGCGAAGGCGGCUUGCUGGACGAUGACGGACGUUGAGGCUCGAAAGCGUGGGGAGCAAACAGGAUUAGAUACCCUAGUAGUC
This 440-nucleotide ribosomal RNA is filed under the name uncultured bacterium. Its description in RNAcentral is "partial 16S ribosomal RNA". It matches the Rfam family "Bacterial small subunit ribosomal RNA", at positions 338 to 795 of the family's 1533-position model. The record is from RNAcentral.